GACGAACGCUGGCGGCGUGCUUAACACAUGCAAGUCGAACGGAAAGGCCCUGCUUUUGUGGGGUGCGCGAGUGGCGAACGGGUGAGUAACACGUGAGUGACCUGCGCUUUAGUGUGGGGUAAAUUCAGGAAACUGGGGCGAAUGCCCGGUAUGAGCUCCUGCUGCAUGGGGGGGGUUGGAAAGUUUCGGCGGUUGGGGAUGGACGCGCGGCUUAUCGGUGUGUUGGUGGGGUAGUGGGGUACCAAGGCAUUGACGGGUCGCCGGCAUGAGAAGGUGACCGGGCACAUUGGGACUGAGAUAGGGACCAGACUCCUACGGGAGGCAGCAGUGGGGAAUAUUGCCCAGUGGGGCGAAGCCUGAUGCAGCAACGCCGGGUGCGGGAUGACGGCCUUCGGGUUGUAAACCGCUUUCGCCUGUGACGAAGCGUGAGUGACGGUAAUGGGUAAAGAAGCACCGGCUAACUACGUG
RNAcentral lists this ribosomal RNA (468 nucleotides) under uncultured bacterium. RNAcentral describes it as "partial 16S ribosomal RNA". It matches the Rfam family "Bacterial small subunit ribosomal RNA", at positions 28 to 507 of the family's 1533-position model. The record is from RNAcentral.